RNAcentral lists this long non-coding RNA (1128 nucleotides) under Mus spicilegus (steppe mouse). RNAcentral describes it as "lncRNA (ENSMSIG00000016114.1)". Lineage: Eukaryota; Metazoa; Chordata; Mammalia; Rodentia; Muridae. The record is from RNAcentral.
AUAAGAGUUACCUUGGUCAUGGUGUCUGUUUACAGCAGUAAAAUCUUAAGACAGUAGAAGACUUGGAAAACAUGGUGUGUGUGUGGGGGGGGGGGGCAACUAUUAAGAACUCCCACACUCCUUAUCCCAACACCUCAAAUACUUUGAGUGGAUAAAAUGGAUGGUCAGAGCCUUGCUUUUCAAGUCUUACACUGCUCCCUAGUCCUGCCCCUCCCAGCUCUGGAGUUUUCAAUGGGUUUGGUCGCUGAAGGACAUGUCAUACACUUGUUCCCACUGAAGUGUGGUGGAAUGACAAGAGUCAGACAUAGUACUGCGGCUGGUAAAUGAUGCUUUCCACCAAAGCUGCUUCUGUCUCCAGCAGGAGUCUCAGAGACUGUUGACUUGGAAGCUUCAGACCUGCCGUCUAGUCUAAACCCAGCGUUGCCACUUAAUGAACCAUGUCACUGGAUGCCGGGGUCACUUCAUUUCCCUAAUUCUUCUCUUUAAAGGAGGUUGAGAGAGAAAACGGAGGAGAUGAACCAUAACCUGGGUCUCCAAUUUAGGGGAAAGCAAGAAGGACAAACGAAUGAUAUGAGGACUGACAGCCAUUGGCUUCCAAGACCAUUUGUAUGGGGACCAGAGGAGACUGGAUCCAGUUGGGAGACAAGGCAGAGCCAUCAUCAUGUCCAUGAAAUUACAGCGAAGAAGUAAAACAACGUGCUUCGAGUUACAGAGCAGCAGUCCCUCGGCUCCAUUUAGAGAAGCAGUACAUGGGCAGAGCCGUGCUUCCAAGGGAUGCGGCUUUACCCGGAAAACUUGAAGCACGUUACUUUGACGUCGGAGUUUCAGAGCAUCCCCAUCUUUCUCUGAGUUGUCUCAGGAAGGCACCUGGAACCAAGUUCCUGACUCAGGCAAGAUUCCGCUGUGCACAGGAGCUUCUCGGAAGAGCAGGCAGCUCUCAGCUCCUGGGUAGGUUUAUUCCAGAACGCACCUCAGAUACGGCAUAUGUGUUCCCCUGUUACCUGAGCUCUUCCCACGGAACCCUGGACUGUGGAAGCUAAAUAUGCACGGUAACUAUUGUAGCAAAAGACAUGGGAGAGCAUGUCCAAUCCUCUUUUUUAUUUUCUUUCCCUUGAAAAGUUAUAACCU